AAAAAAAAAAAAAAAAGGAAACACGAUAUUUAACCAGCAUUUAUGUCAGCCCGUUAAUUUUUGUCGUUUUUUUCUUU
Molecule: non-coding RNA, 77 nt
Filed under: Pseudopedinella elastica
Lineage: Eukaryota; Dictyochophyceae; Pedinellales
Source: RNAcentral